This 860-nucleotide ribosomal RNA is filed under the name uncultured organism. Its description in RNAcentral is "bacterial SSU rRNA". It matches the Rfam family "Bacterial small subunit ribosomal RNA", at positions 14 to 868 of the family's 1533-position model. The record is from RNAcentral.
UGAUCCUGGCUCAGAGUGAACGCUAGCGGCGUGGUUAAGACAUGCAAGUCGAACGAUGAAGCCCAGCUUGCUGGGCGGAUUAGUGGCAUACGGGUGCGUAACACGUGAGCAACCUGCCUUGAAGUGGGGAAUAGCCCGGGGAAACCCGGAUUAAUACCGCAUGUGGUCUCUUUUCGCAUGAAAAGACGACUAAAGUUUGUAAUGACUCUUCAAGAGGGGCUCGCGGCCUAUCAGCUUGUUGGUGAGGUAAAGGCUCACCAAGGCAAAGACGGGUAGCUGGUCUGAGAGGAUGAUCAGCCACACUGGAACUGAGAUACGGUCCAGACACCUACGGGUGGCAGCAGUUUCGAAUCAUUCACAAUGGGGGAAACCCUGAUGGUGCAACGCCGCGUGGAGGAUGACGGCCUUCGGGUUGUAAACUCCUGUCACCAAGGAACAAACGGCAGGUUCAUAGCCUGUCCUGGGUUAACUUGGAGAGGAAGAGGUGGCUAACUCCGUGCCAGCAGCCGCGGUAAUACGGAGACCUCGAGCGUUACUCGGAUUCACUGGGCGUAAAGAGUAUGUAGGCUGUUUGGUAUGUCAGGUGUGAAAGCCCGAAGCUCAACUUCGGAAUUGCGCCUGAAACUACCGGACUUGAGGCCUGGAGAGGGGAGUGGAAUUCCUGGUGUAGCGGUGAAAUGCGUAGAUAUCAGGAGGAACACCAAUGGCGAAGGCAGCUCCCUGGACAGGUUCUGACGCUGAGAUACGAAAGCGUGGGUAGCGAAAGGGAUUAGAUACCCCUGUAGUCCACGCCGUAAACGUUGUACACUAGGUCUCGGAGGGCCUACCCAUUCGGAGCUCAAGCUAACGCGAUAAGUGUA